GCGGGGCCUUUCCACUGUAGGUAUCGGGUGGCUGGUGGUGAGUUUCUAUAGACCGGUCCGCGGACCGCAAGGGCGAGGGAGCCAUAGCUUUUCUAGUUUCUCGAACGAUGUCCUCGGGGAGCCUAACUGGAGGGCGGCGGGCGGCUGCGUCCACGCGGGCCUCGGGGCGGGCGCCGUGGCCUUGUGUCCGAGUUUGCCGGCCGAGGCCCGAGGACCGCGUGCGUCUUCGUCCGGCCGGGCAGCCGCCGUCUCGGGAUCCCUGACCCCGGGCUCGCCUCUGGGAGUGAGCACCCCCAGAGAGAACUAGAGGGCAGACCCACUCGCUUUUGGAGACGGGAGCAGCAUCCCUACCCGAGGUUAAGAGCCAGUCAGGGUUGCAGGUCGGUGAAGGGUGGCCAGCGCGUGAUCACCAAUAGCUGGGCAUGGGAGCCCAAGCCUUGGCCCGCUCCGAGGUCUUGAGCACUGAAGAGUGGGAUCGGCGCAGCAGAGUUCUAAAGCGGGCGGCGGCGGCAGCAGCACCCCAGCCCAAGAAGAGGCUAUGCUGCAGCAGGGGCAGAAUUUUUUGAAGUCCAAAGGACCAGGCGUGGCCAUCGACUUGGACCCUGAAAACCUAGGCUCCCACGUUUGGUGUAGAAACACCUUGUGCUGAGUAUCAGAGGGCCAUUCUUACCAAUGAGGGAGCCAAGAAAUAGAU
This is a non-coding RNA of Kogia breviceps (pygmy sperm whale), 694 nucleotides long. NCBI's taxonomy places the organism in Eukaryota, Metazoa, Chordata, Mammalia, Artiodactyla, Physeteridae. The record is from RefSeq and is a predicted model, not a curated record.